AACAUAAACACGAAAAAAAGACAUGAUAAGUAAAGAUAAAUGGUCCACAAUUAAAUGCAAGAUUAUUUGAAUCAUCGACAUGAAAAGGAUGAUAUUGAUCCAAAGCUGAGCUGAAAGUCUGCAAUUUUUUACCUUAAUGGCUUAGAACUGCCCGAUUUGAUUUUAAUUAUACUCCAGUGUGAAUGAUAAAAUUUAUAUAUUUGCUGGUGAUUAAGAUUUUAUCUUUUCCCUAUCAAAGUUACAUCUGGACUUUAUGAUCUGAUCAAGGAACGCACACAGGUAUCAUUUUGUAAAUGGUAAAAAAGUGAAUUGAUAAUUAACGAGAGAUUUGGAGCAAUUUAUCUUCAUAACCAAUCAUACUAUUAUGUAUUGGGAGUUCAAGCUCAUCAAAAUAAUGGAUACAAAGAUCAGAUUGACAGGACUAAUUUAAUGGAUUAUUAUGUUAAUGAUGAUAAUCUCGAUUGAUCACGCAAACAUUUAAUAAUGGCAACAUAAAUGGUGGAAUGAAUUAAGAGUCUAAUU
This is a non-coding RNA of Tetranychus urticae (two-spotted spider mite), 522 nucleotides long. The record is from RefSeq and is a predicted model, not a curated record. Lineage: Eukaryota; Metazoa; Arthropoda; Arachnida; Trombidiformes; Tetranychidae.